UACGUAGGAGGCGAGCGUUGUCCGGAUUUACUGGGCGUAAAGCGCGCGCAGGCGGCACUUCAAGUAAGGUGUGAAAUCUCACUGCUCAACGGGGAGGGUGCACUUUAGACUGAGGAGCUAGAGGACGGUAGAGGGGGGUGGAAUUGCUGGUGUAGCGGUGAAAUGCGUAGAGAUCAGCAGGAACACCCGUGGCGAAGGCGGCCCCCUGGGCCGUACCUGACGCUGAGGCGCGAAGGCUAGGGGAGCGAACGGG
This 253-nucleotide ribosomal RNA is filed under the name uncultured bacterium. RNAcentral's name for it is "partial 16S ribosomal RNA". It matches the Rfam family "Bacterial small subunit ribosomal RNA", at positions 524 to 776 of the family's 1533-position model. The record is from RNAcentral.